AGAGUUUGAUCAUGGCUCAGAUUGAACGCUGGCGGCAGGCCUAACACAUGCAAGUCGAACGGUAACAGGAAGCAGCUUGCUGCUUCGCUGACGAGUGGCGGACGGGUGAGUAAUGUCUGGGAAACUGCCUGAUGGAGGGGGAUAACUACUGGAAACGGUAGCUAAUACCGCAUAACGUCGCAAGACCAAAGAGGGGGACCUUCGGGCCUCUUGCCAUCGGAUGUGCCCAGAUGGGAUUAGCUUGUUGGUGGGGUAACGGCUCACCAAGGCGACGAUCCCUAGCUGGUCUGAGAGGAUGACCAGCCACACUGGAACUGAGACACGGUCCAGACUCCUACGGGAGGCAGCAGUGGGGAAUAUUGCACAAUGGGCGCAAGCCUGAUGCAGCCAUGCCGCGUGUAUGAAGAAGGCCUUCGGGUUGUAAAGUACUUUCAGCGGGGAGGAAGGGAGUAAAGUUAAUACCUUUGCUCAUUGACGUUACCCGCAGAAGAAGCACCGGCUAACUCCGUGCCAGCAGCCGCGGUAAUACGGAGGGUGCAAGCGUUAAUCGGAAUUACUGGGCGUAAAGCGCACGCAGGCGGUUUGUUAAGUCAGAUGUGAAAUCCCCGGGCUCAACCUGGGAACUGCAUCUGAUACUGGCAAGCUUGAGUCUCGUAGAGGGGGGGAGAAUUCCAGGUGUAGCGGUGAAAUGCGUAGAGAUCUGGAGGAAUACCGGUGGCGAAGGCGGCCCCCUGGACGAAGACUGACGCUCAGGUGCGAAAGCGUGGGGAGCAAACAGGAUUAGAUACCCUGGUAGUCCACGCCGUAAACGAUGUCGACUUGGAGGUUGUGCCCUUGAGGCGUGGCUUCCGGAGCUAACGCGUUAAGUCGACCGCCUGGGGAGUACGGCCGCAAGGUUAAAACUCAAAUGAAUUGACGGGGGCCCGCACAAGCGGUGGAGCAUGUGGUUUAAUUCGAUGCAACGCGAAGAACCUUACCUGGUCUUGACAUCCACGGAAGUUUUCAGAGAUGAGAAUGUGCCUUCGGGAACCGUGAGACAGGUGCUGCAUGGCUGUCGUCAGCUCGUGUUGUGAAAUGUUGGGUUAAGUCCCGCAACGAGCGCAACCCUUAUCCUUUGUUGCCAGCGGUCCGGCCGGGAACUCAAAGGAGACUGCCAGUGAUAAACUGGAGGAAGGUGGGGAUGACGUCAAGUCAUCAUGGCCCUUACGACCAGGGCUACACACGUGCUACAAUGGCGCAUACAAAGAGAAGCGACCUCGCGAGAGCAAGCGGACCUCAUAAAGUGCGUCGUAGUCCGGAUUGGAGUCUGCAACUCGACUCCAUGAAGUCGGAAUCGCUAGUAAUCGUGGAUCAGAAUGCCACGGUGAAUACGUUCCCGGGUCUUGUACACACCGCCCGUCACACCAUGGGAGUGGGUUGCAAAAGAAGUAGGUAGCUUAACCUUCGGGAGGGCGCUUACCACUUUGUGAUUCAUGACUGGGGUGAAGUCGUAACAAGGUAACCGUAGGGGAACCUGCGGUUGGAUCACCU
RNAcentral lists this ribosomal RNA (1530 nucleotides) under Escherichia coli. RNAcentral's name for it is "bacterial SSU rRNA". It matches the Rfam family "Bacterial small subunit ribosomal RNA". Lineage: Bacteria; Pseudomonadati; Pseudomonadota; Gammaproteobacteria; Enterobacterales; Enterobacteriaceae. The record is from RNAcentral.